UGAGCAAUCUGCCCUUCUCAUCGGAAUAAGCGUUGGAAACGACGUCUAAUGCCGAAUACGACCUCCUUUCGCAUGAUCGGAGGUGGAAAGCUCCGGCGGAGAAGGAUGAGCUCGCGGCCUAUCAGCUAGUUGGUGUGGGUAACGGCCCACCAAGGCGACGACGGGUAGCCGGCCUGAGAGGGUGACCGGCCACACUGGGACUGAGACACGGCCCAGACCUCCCGUACGGGGAGGCAGCG
This 239-nucleotide ribosomal RNA is filed under the name uncultured bacterium. RNAcentral's name for it is "partial 16S ribosomal RNA". It matches the Rfam family "Bacterial small subunit ribosomal RNA", at positions 118 to 353 of the family's 1533-position model. The record is from RNAcentral.